ACGUGAGCGCUCUGCCGUCUGCCGGCCCGGGUGGAAGUGACGCGCCCGCACCUCUCCAUCCCCUCGGCAGCCCGGGAGCUACCCCGCAGUUAGGAUGGAGAUGGAAACCAAAACGGGAGACGUGCUGCCGACUUAGAGGCCGAAACGCUGUGGCUUGGACCUGGUUCCCCUUCCUCCCGCUCCGGUGCUCGCCCUUGCUCCUCUCCGAGGAUGCAGACCGGCUUUCCCCCCCGUGGUGACCGCGGAAGCCCGGCACGGGCCGACUCCGCUGAGACGAAAGGCAGAAAAGUCUCUGAUUCAUCCUGCAUGGCUUUGUGGUCUUGUGUGCAACCUUCAGUGUGGCUUUUGUGGACUGGCUCAGUCUGGAGAUGUGGGUUACCAGGCGCUGUAUGUUUGUGUCCCCCUAAAGUUCGUACAUGGAAACCUUCAUCCUCAGUUGGGUGGUAUUUGGUGAUGAGGCCUUGGGGAGGGGGUUGGUCAUCGGGUCACGGGGGUGGAGCCCUCCUAAGCAGGUAGUGCCCUUAUGAGAAGAGACACGUAAGAGCCCACGCCCCCUCCCCUCGUGAGGAUACAGUGAGAGGUGGCUGUCUACCAGCCAGGAAGGAGGCUGUCACCAGACGCCAGACCUGCUGGCGCCUGGACCUUGGACUUCCAGCUUCCAGAACUCUGAGGGAUGGGUGUUUGUGGUUUCAGCCCCCCAGUCUGGUAUUUUUGUUAUAGCAGCCCCAGGGGACUAAGACCCGUGGUGGGAGGGCUCAGUGAGGCCAGGGUGCUGUUAGCAGGAGGACGAGUGGCUGCCAGACAGCAGAAGCAGUAGUCUGGAGGUGGGGGGGACCUGUACUCUGUUCUGUCGGUGACCGUUUGUAGCCAUUUCUCCUAUCUGGCCUCAGUUUCCACGUUAAAAGAAGCAUUGAGUUAGGAGCGCUCCAUCGUCCUUGGCAGAGCUCCUGUGCUGUGACAGAAUUCAAUACCAGUUUCCCUGAACUCAGAGUCUGACACAGUGGAACUUCUGGGGACCCACAGUCCUCCCCGGGGGCACCACCCCCACGCCCCACCCCCACGCCCCACCCCCAGUCCUUUCAGCCUUUGCAGAGCUGACUCUCUUCAAUUGUCAGGAGGCCUGCAUUUUUCUGCCCUCGCCACAGCUGAUAGUCCUUGUUCCCAUAUCUGCACUUUUGUUUUAACCUUCGUUUCUUGUUUCUUGUCUAUCCUCCUUGCCACGUCUCUCCUGGGCCAGACACAGUAGGUUCAUAUCCCAGCUCCGUCACUUACGAGACGAGUCACUACACCUCUGAGCCUGUGUCCUCGUCUGUAACGUAGGAAUAACACCACUUGUGUCUUUGGGUUGGAGGGAGGACGAAAUGAGAAGAGUACGUGAAGUGCUUACAAGCACUCUCAUAUGACUAGUAUUGUUAUUAUAGUCUCUGCAUAUUUGGGUUCAAGGCACUUGGCCAUUUGCAUCAAGUAUUAGAGUUUCAGAGGCAGCACUGGGUUCAGCAGCAUUCCAGAUGAUUGAUAGAGGGCUGCUUUCAGGAUGAUGGACAUUGCUGUAUCUGUCUCUCAUAUUUGGGUCACGGAGGGAUGGCUGGAUAGAUGACAGGCUGGGCGGUCUGGAUUUCCCCCAACACUUGCCCGUCAGUCACAGGAGAGAGCUCAGGCUUUCCAAAUGGCUGGCUCUUCCCCACCAUUUCUACCUUCCACUGUAACCUCAGUUCUGUGGCAGCUUCUGUGAACCUUUAAGCCAGCCUUGGCAGAACUGGCUGCUGUGCUCCUGGCCCCAUCAGACUUCUAAACUUCUACGCAGCCCCCACUGUCCCACAUGCCGUACCCACCCUCCUUCUACUGUCCAUUCUCAUUCAGCCUUAAGUCUCAGAUCAAAGGUCAGCUCUUACUAAACCCAAAGAAAAGCAGACGUGGGUUAUUUUGCCCUCAUAUUUUGUAUGUUCUUGAUUCUGGCCCCCCACAUACUGUCUUAUAAUUGUUUUUCUGUCUAUAUCCCUGACCACAUUGCAGUAUGUUUGAGGGAGUGACUUAAUGAUAUUUUUUUAAGAUUUUAUGUGUUUAUUUGAAAGAGAAAGAGCAUAAGCAGGGGAGAGGGGCAUAGGGAGAAGCAGACUCCCUGCUGAGCAGGGAGCCUGAUGUGGGGCUCAGUCUCAGGACCCCAGGAUCAUGACUUGAGCUGAAGGCAGACACUUAACCGCUUAACCGACUGAGCCACCCAGGUAUCCCAAGGGAGUGACUUUCUUAUUCGUAUUGGAAUUUCCAGGGCUUAGUAAUUGCCUAACACAUAAUAGGUAUUCGCUUUUUAUUAAAGGAAUUAAUAUCCCUGCCCCAGGUCCCCAGAUAAUGGGUAAGUCUUGCACUGAAAAAUGUUGGAAGAGCCUGAGCAAAAAGGGCAGAGAUGAGCAGAACUGGCCCACACACAUCGCUCCUCUGUCCAUUUCAUCCCCCACCUCCACCAACAACGAACAUGGCCACCUUGGCCCUUUCUUUUUUUUUUUAAAAGAUUUUAUUUAUUUAUUUGACAGAGAGAGACACAGCGAGAGAGGGAACACAAGCAGGGGGAGUGGGAGAGGGAGAAGCAGGCUUCCCGUGGAGCGGGGAGCCCGAUGCGGGGCUCGAUGCGGGGCUCAAUCCCAGGACCCUGGUAUCAUGACCUGAGCUGAAGGCAGACGCUUAACGACUGAGCCACCCAGGUGCCCCGCACGUUGGCCCUUUCUUAACAUGGCUUCCAGUAGGCUCCGCAUGCGUUAAAUGGAGGUGGUAAGGUUGUUCCUAAGAUCUUUCUGGUGGCCUGUCCUUUUGCUAACUACUGUUCGAUUUUUCCUUUCUCUAUGGAAACUCAUUUGCUAGGAGUAAGCUCUUAAUCACGAGUGGUUCAUGGUACUUUCACUUUAAAUCUGUUUACAGUUUUUCCACCCUUUGUAAAGCUGAUGAGUCAGAUGUCUGGCCGUGAUCCUGAUAAGGUAGGCCCCUGGACAGCCUUGCUCCUGGACUUCAGUUAGCCCUUCUCACUACUCAGCCAGUACGGCCCUGCUCCCGAUAACCCACACUGUUCAGAGUUACAUAGGUGCUAGAUGAAGCAGUUAAAAAUGUGGUGUUCUGGGCGCCUGGGUGGCUCAGUUGGUUAAGCGACUGCCUUCGGCUCAGGUCAUGAUCCUGGAGUCCCAGGAUGGAGUCCCGCAUCGGGCUCCCUGCUCAGCAGGGAGUCUGCUUCUCCCUCUGACCCUCCCCCCUCUCACGCUCUCUCUAUCUCAUUCUCUCUCUCAAAUAAAUAAAUAAAAUCUUAAAAAAAAAAAAAUGUGGUGUUCCCCCCAUCUCUGGCAGAGGAAAACAUGCAGAAACCAUCUGUUAAAAAGGACAACUGAAAGUUCAUGUAUGUGCAUGUCCUGAUUCGCAAAGGCAACAGUGCCUUAAAGUGAAGAAGUGAUGUUUUUGUUUCUAAGAGGAAACCUACAACACCUAAAAUCUAAAACUUAAACAGACAAUGAACUAAACCUGGAAGCCAGUGUUAGUCACCGUCCCAGUUGUCUGAUCUCCGCCUGGUUAUACAAACUCACGCAGACAUGGCCAAGUCUAGCAUUCAUUCAACAGCCAUCUUUGGAGUGCUUACAAUGUUAGAUUAGUGCUAGCGCGGGUGGGGAUUCAAAUCGGCCAAGAGACCUUUUCCCCUAGAGCUGAAAAGGUCCAGUGGGGGAGAGAGAACUAUAUUAGAAGCCAGGAAAGACUAUAACCUGUAGGGGUGUACUUGAUUGUUUGUAUAAAGGUGGUUAAUUCGAGGCUAAGGAGGAUAAACUGAUAAGGUCAGUGGUGAAGUACAAGGGUCAGGAGUAGACAAAGAAAACCCAGGUUAAUUUGCUUAACAUAAAUUCUACUCCAGGAAGCAACAUAAAGCUUGCACUCAUACCUUAAAGUCCUUAGCUUUUAUGUACCAGUAGGUAUACGGGUCUGUUUAUCUCGUGGGCCAGAAGCUUCUCAUGAAGAACUUUAUACUUCUUGUACAUAUCACUCUGCACUAGACCCCAUGACCGCUACUGGUUGAUAGUAAUUGGAAGAAUUUUUUUUUUUUUUUAAGAUUUUUAUUUUUAAGUAACUCUACACCCAGUGUGGGGCUUGAACUCACAACCCCAAGAUCAAGAUCCACCCGCUGCACUGACCGAGCCAGCCAGGCUUCCCAGGAACUUCUAAUGGCAGUAGACUCACAGAAUGUGCAAAAUCAAACCAUAAUCUGUGUUAUACUUGUAUGUAAAAGAAACAUACUAUAUAUUUGAUUCCAGAAAUAUAAUUUGUCGAACAAGCCACUUGUACCUAAACUGUCUUUCACUGCGUUUUACAAUCAUUUACACAAAUGAAGUUUAUCAUUAGCCUGCUCUGGAGUGAGGUUUCCUAUCUCAAACCCCGUCAGCUCUCUUUCCAGCACAGAAAUGGAGCUCCGCUGACAGUUGCCGCAGGUAGGGUCUGCCCUGGUGGUAGCUGAGAAAGAAGUUCCUGGCCUCAGCUCUCCCGGGCUUACCACGGCUCUCCCAGGAAGGCAGUGCAUCAAGGAUGGGUGCCACCAGCCACAGACCCAAGCGGGCCCUUCUGAGGCAUUCUGGUAGGCUCCACGCCCAGCAUGGAGCCCAACAAGGGGCUCGAACCCACGACCAUGAGAUGAAGACCUGGGCCAAGAUCAAAAGUCAGACACUUAACCGACUGAGCCACCCAGUGCCCCCAUAUAAAAAUAUCUUAAAGAUUUUGAGGUAAGGAAUGAUUUCUACAAAAAAGAUGUAGAAAGCACCAACUAUAACGGAGGAGAUGGACACCAUUAAAAGGGUAAAAAGGCAAGCCACAAAGCAGAAGAGAUUUGCAAUACGCAUAACCAACAAAGGGCUAGGAUCCAGAACAUAGAAAGAAGUGCCAAUCAGUAAGAAAAAGACAAACAUUUAAAUUGUGAAAAAGGUGAAGGACCUGAACGGGCACGUAAGAAGAAAGAGGAAAUACAAAUGGCCAAUAAACAUGAGAAAGUGCCCAACCUUAGCGGUAGGCAGGGGAAUACAAAUUAAACCCACAAGGAGUUGCCUACCAGAUAGGCCAAGUGGAAGCAGAAGUUGGUGCUAUCACCGGGGAAGUCAGUCUGACCUUAUCUCGUGAAGUGGAAGAUAGGCCUGCCCUGUGGUCAGCAGUGCCUUUGCUCAUACACGCACCAGGAGCACAGGUGAGAACAUUCUCAGCAACAUUGUUUCUUUCGGCUCAAAGUGUCCCGCGGCCGUGGCAUGAUGAGUAAGUGUGAUGGAGUCAUAUAGCGAGUGUUAAUGGGUAACCGAAAGUGAAGUACAACUAGAUGCAACAACGUGGGUGAACGUAGCACGUAUGGUGACUAAAAAAAGCUAGCCUCAGUCGUUAGGCGUCUGCCUUCGGCUCGGGUCGUGGUCCCGGGGUCCUGGGACCGAGCCCCGCAUCAGGCUCCCUGCUCUACGGAAAGCCUGCUUCUCCCUCUCCCACUCCCCCUGCUUGUGUUCCCUCUCUCGCUGUGUCUCUCUCUUCAAAUAAAUAAAUAAAAUCUUUGGGGGAAAAAAAAAAAGCUAGCCUAAAGGAGUACAUAUGAUCCCUUUUGUAUGCAAAGUUCGAAAAUAGGCAAGAAUUUAAUUAUAAUAUUUGAGGAUGUAUGUUUAUAGUAAAAAUAUAAAAAUAAGUAAAUGGUUACCAUAACAUUACCAUAAAAACCAGGAUGUGGAUGCCUUCGGAGCACCAAAGGGACAUACUGAAGCUUUGGGAUUGUUGCCAGUGUUUUAGUUCUUGACCUGGGCAGUGGUUACAUAAGUUUUGCUUUAUGAUAAUUCAUAACAUUUUUGUCUCAGACGGUCUUCUCUAUUUUAUAAUUUAAAAAGGUUUAUUUUUGGGGUGCCUGGAUGGCUCAUUCGGUUAAGCGUCUGCCUUCGGCUUGGGUUGUGGUCCCGGGAUCCUGGGAUGGAGCCCUGCAUCAGGCUCCCUGCUCAGCAGGGAGUCUGCUUCUCCCUCUCCCUUUACCCCUCUCCCCUGCUCGUGUUCUCUCUCUCUCAAGUAAAUUAAAAAAAAAACAACCUAAAAACUAAAAAAAAUCCAGAAAACCCUGAGCAUUUAAAAUAAAUAAAUAAAAUAAAAUAAAUUUUCCCCCCAAAGGACAUAUGGUUAAAGCAACAGUCCUAGUUUUACCUGAAGGAGAUAACUUACCAGUGACGGCGUCACACAGGAUUUUUAAAAAUGUUGUAGCUCAAAUAAUCCAGAAAAAAAGACAAGAUGACGUGCCCUAGAAAUCUAUUUGAGGGCGCGGAGAGCGCGCUGGCAUGAUGGUGACACCGGGGUGAUAGCGACAUGAAAAGACGUUUGAGGCGUUUCCAGAAAAGUAAGAGUGAGAAACAUUUUCAGAACAUUCAUACAUGUAUCUCUGAUUUGAAAUGUGUACGUAAAACCAAGUUAAUAAAUAGUACAAGUUGCCGUCCAUUUCAUUUUUAUUCUCAAAAAGUUGAGCACAAGUCAGCCACAUCUUUUCUGGGAGCUUCCCAGGGGAAAGAAGAGCGCAGUCUGCGUUGGGACAGUCCCAGUAGCUGUUACCAGCCCCAUCUGACGAAUACAAAGGAAGAGUCAUUUGCUGAUGUUCACACAGCUAAUUUUCAAAUUUCUGGGGUUGCAGACCUAAAGGUGGACGGGAAUCCACGGCAAUGGGAAGCGUGUAACUCACAGCAUGGACGGCAGCCUGGAAAACCAGGUUCAGCAAACAAGGGGGAACGAGGGCCCCCGAGAGCCACCAUCACCGUGCCCUUCGUGCCGCAGCAACAGCCCGACCGGGGUGCGGGCAUUGGUGCUGUGGGAGUUGCCCCGGGGCCACGGCCUCCUCCCCGUUCUGGACCCGGCACGGGGGGCACGCAUUCCAGUCUGUCCAUUCUCUCUGUCACGCGCUGCAGACCCGAAGUCCCAGGCUCAGGUGUCCAUUGGGCCAACAUCAGCUCUUCCGCCUAUGCCUUAGGGACUUGGGGUUUGAGGGAGCAAGGAUCUCACCUUUUAGGGUCCCUCCCAAGAUUCCCAGAAUAUCUGGGCAACAGAAGGUAGUUCACACACUGAAUGGUCAGAAAUGGCCAUUUUCAUUUUCCCUUUAGAGGCGGGUGGUGACAAGGCCAGGACCAGUGCCCAGGACAGCACGCAUUUCCACUGUCCCUUCUGUGUUUCUUUGGACCUGGGGGUGAGAUGGGGGGCAAACCCCAGUCACCAGUGGCAAUAUCCUCACCCCCUCGUGUAGUCGCUGGAGUCAGAUCCCAACAAGGGGCUGCAGAUGGGAACCUGCUGAGGUCACCACAAGAAUCAGUCCCAACAGCAGCUCUUGAGUUAUUUUUAAGCCAGUCAACAGCAGGCCAAGGACAGGGUGGGUGCAGGUACAAAGAGAAAUACUCCAGGCUCCUGCUCUAAUCUCUUAAAACAUCAGGUGGGGGCACCUGCGUGGUUCAGCUGUUCGAGCGUCUGGCUCUUGGUUUCCGCUCACAUCAUGAUCUUAGGAUCGUGGGAUCUAGCCCCGCGUCAGGCUCUGCACUCAGCACGGAGUCUGCUUGGACCUCUCCCUCUGCUUCUCCCCCUGCUUAUGCUCUCUCUAAAAUCAGUUAAUUAAUUAAUGUAAAAAAAAAAUUAGCUGUAUGUUAUGCUGCCUUUAACAUAAGGUCUUAUUAUAGAAUUCCUGAAUUCCUCUUUCUAGUCCUCCUUUGUAGUUCCAAGUGUAUGUUUUAAGGGUGAAGUGCUCUAUGAUCUUUUCCCAAUUUAUAUUUUGCAGUUGUUAUCACUCUUUAUCCCUAAAUGAUGAAAAUCAUCAAUUAAAGGAAGCUUUAGGAACGUCAACUUUGGGGUUGUUUGACAAGCUACUUCACGGUGUGGUAUAGUUCUUUAGGCAUUGUAAGUACUCAGUAAAUGCUGGAGAGGGGCUGGAGGUGGGGCAGGUAGUGGAAGUGAUUUGGAGAAAUGGGAGAGAGAAUGUAUUUGAUUUAGAUAUGGAGAGGCCUCUAUAGGCGGCCAGUAUGUCUCCUGCUCCAAAGGUAAUGAAGUUGAGAAAAAAUUUAUAAAGGAAAUUUCUCCAGAAACCUAAAAGGACCAGGACCAAGGACCAGAGCAGGGUGGGAUCCCUGACCAGGGCCUCUGGGCAGCCAAGAAGGCAGGUAAGCUGGCCCCAAAACCACGCAGGAGUCCACUCUCAGUGCAGGUGGAAAGGAGGGACUUAGACAAUUAGGUGCAUGAGCCAGGCCACUCUGUGGGCCCAGACUGUUGUCCUUACUUGACCAAGGAUGACCCUGGGGCUUGGGGAGGUCACCCGGCCCAGAGGCAGCUGGGAUUCAACCUUUAGGCACUUGGCCCCAGAGCCUGUGUUGUCAUCCCUAAUCUCCUGCCUCUCUGUGCAGUUUUAGGAUUUCUCUGAUGGAGCUACAUCUUAGCAGGGGCCUGAAUAAAGGAGUGAGGACAUGAGUGGCGCGCACAGCGGGAAUGUCACGUGCAGCAGCCCGGGACCAGCGAGGAGGCAGAUGGCUGGAGUCCAGGAGACAUGAGGCUGAGUAACAGUGGGGACACAGCCUGGCGACACGUUGGCUGCAGGCUUGUGAGACCCUGAGCAGAAGACCCGGUGAGGCCGUGCCCAGACUCCUGACCAACAGACACUGUGAGAUAAGAAAUGUGCAUUGUUUUAAGCUGCUAAAUAUGUGUAGUGUAGAAAAUGAAUACAGUAGAUUUCUAACAUACAUAUAUACACAUACAGAUUUGUGUGUGUGUGUGUGUUGAUUUCCCCCUGAUGAUAAAGCAAUGCUUUGUACUUGUUUCUGUCAGUGUAAGUAGAAACAGCUAAAUGCAUGGGACCAAGGAACAAAGCCAGUGGCCCCAGAAGAAGCAGGAACAGUCAGUGCUGGUGAUUAUUCAUGAGAGCAGGCACGUGCCUGCCCCAGUGCUCGCACACAAGCCAGGUAGUGAGCGGGCUUCACAGCACGUCCCCAGGUAGGCAGUAUGUCACCCAAGUGUCCUCAAGAGAAGACAUCACCGUGAAGAUUCAGUCCUUCAUUUCUGGGCGAUAAAAUUUCUAGAGGCCUUGCUAAUUUUAAUACAGUGCUAACAAGGCAGGGCACCUGAGUGGCUCAGUCCGUUAAGCGUCUGCCUUCAGCUCAGGUCAUGAUCCCAGGGUGCUGGGAUCGAGCCCUGCAGCAGGCUCCCUGCUGCCCCUCCCCCUGCUUGUGCUCUCUUGCUCUCGCUUACUCUCUCAAAUAAAUAAAAUCUUAAAAAAAACUUGAACAAAACCACUGCUAAUAAGGCAAACAUAUAUAUAUAUAUAUAUAUAUAUAUAUAUAUAUAUAUAUAUAUAUAUAUAUAUUUUUUAAAGAUUUUAUUUGACAGAGACACAGCGAGAGAGGGAACACCAGCAGGGGGCGUGGGAGAGAGAGAAGCAGGCUUCCCGCAGAGCAGGGAGCCUGAUGCGGGGCUCGAUCCCAGGACCAGGACCAUGGGAUCACGACCUGAGCCGAAGGCAGAUGCUUAACGACUGAGCCUCCCAGGUGCCCCUAAACAUAAAUUUUUAAUAAUGCUAACAGAUGAAGUCACUGUUUUGUAAUGACAGGACUAGAAUACCACCCAGCAAGACUUUAAAAAAUGCAUCAUUUUAGGGGUGCGUGGUUGGCUUAAUCGGUAGAGCAUUCGACUCUUUUAGAGAGAAAGUGCAUGUGCGUGCAGGGUGGGGGACAAGUAGGAGGGUAGGGACGUCGUGGGUGGGGAGUGGCAGAGGGAGAGGGAGGGAAUCCCAAGCAGACUCUCCACUGAGCACAGAGCCCGAUGCGGGGCUUGAUCCCACAACCCUGAGAUCAUGACCUGAGCUGAAAUCAAGAGUCAGAUGCUUAACCAACUAUGCCACCCAGGCAUACCUGAGCAUGUGACUCUUGAUCUCAAGGUUCUAAGUUUGAGCCCCACACUGGGUAUAGAGAUUACUUAAAAUCUUCAAGAAAAAAUGCAUCAUUUUAGGGGAGACAUAAGGCUGCAAAGAACUAAAACCUGUGUGAAGGGUUUGGGUUUUCCAAAUCUGACCGAUGCAGGAAAUGACAUUUCUAAGAAGCAACUUUAGCCUAGAUCCAGCCCUGUCCAAGAAUCCAUCUAUAACCAAAAUACCUUAACUCAGCUGGUUAGAGAUGGUAUUCUUUUUGUUUGGGGCCUUUAACCUGGAAAAAUAUCAAAUAUAGCUAUAAUCCUAGAAUGAUAGUUAUUUUAUUUUAUUUUUAAAGAUUUUAUUUAUUUGACAGAGAGGGAACACAAGCAGGGGGAGAGGGAGAGGGAGAAGCAGGCUUCCCGCUGAGCCGGGAGCCCGAUGCGGGGCUCGAUCCCAGGACCCUGGGACCAUGACCUGAGCCGAAGGCAGACGCUUAACAACUGAGCCACCCAGGCGCUCCUAGAAUGAUAGUUUUUUAAAAAGUAAAGGAAAUCAUGAAGAUGAUGUUGAUAUUUAGCCUGAGAAAUUAGUCCAUGCCUUCUGUGCUGUCUGAGGUGUUUGCAAUAAUUAACCAUGCCACAUUUAUAACUACAGGUUAAGCUGUUGAAGAGAAUUACUUCUUUUGUGGUUGUGUUUUAGAUGUGAAAAGAAAGAUUGUAAAAUUUGGUUCAUAAGAGCUUACACUGAACAUGAAAAAAGUACAGGGAGUGUGGGUUUGCUCUUCAUGCCUGAUGCUCCAGGACAGUUAGGACCUAGUCCACUCGGGAAAGAUCUGGGUUCCGGAAUCUGAGUGUGGGGCCCGGCCUUCCAACAAACAAGGAUAUCUUUUCUAUUGUAGUAAGAGGACAGAGGCCCUGGGCAUCUCUGUGAAGGUGCCAAGAUCUCCAAGUGAGAAAAAAAAAGACAAAUUGCACAACAAAACAGAGAGUGUCCACAAGGGGGAAAAGUCAACCCUAGUAAAUCACAUAUGCAUAGAACUCCUGGGAAAGAAAGAUGACGAGAUCCGCUCCAAACCCUUUACUGUGAUACGUGUGGGGGCUGAGGGACUGUGUUUUUUGUUUGUUUUUUGUUUUUUUAACCUGAUGUCAAUGUUUGAUGUGCAAAUUCCUGUACAAGGUUCUGGGCAGCACCCAGUGCUCGGAGACAGAGACCACGCACUACGCCUCACGCUCACUCAGUGUCGCAUACACGCACUCACCUCUCACAAAAAUCCGAUGAGGUUGCUACAGUUCUUACCCCAUUUGACAGGUGAGGAAACUGAGCCCUAGGCAGGCUCCAAGUUAGUAGGUCAAGGAAACGGAGGCCUGGAAUCCGGACGGCUUGACCUCCUGGAGCCUGUGUGCUUAAUCAGAAAACUGCAGGGCAGCCCGCCCUACCCCGCUGACUCUCGGAAACAGUAACAAGACCAAUCAACUCAGGUUGCCAGGAGAAUGUGCCGAGCGAGCGACGUGGGAAUCCCAAGGAGGAAGGAAGAUACUCAGCGGCGUAGAGCAUGCUGCCCACGGUGCCGUAGCUCUUGGCCGAUACCCCGGAGAGCCGGGGGUUUGUGUUGCAGGCACUGGGGUACCACUGCUGGGUGUAAGCAAGGAACCCUGUCUGGGGACGCUGAGCGCAGUGGCCCUGAAGGCUGAUUCUUCCCAUGCUUGGUGGGAAGGGUGCCCCGAGGGACUAGAGGCUGGGACACCCUCGGGGGGCCUGGAGGUGACAGAGGCCAGGACCCGUCGCCAUGAGAUGGACAAGAAGGUUGUGUCCCCUCUAAAAGAAAGACCUCAUACUUACAGCUCAGUAAGGCUGUUUUUUGGGUUUCUUAAAAAGGACGGGCUGUAUAGAUCUUGGUUCCGACGUGUAGGCAUACCGGAGGGGUAUUCCGAUGUGUUUUCACUGGGGCCGGGGGGGCUUCUCUGAAACUAAAGAGGACUAAGGGUUGCAUUGUGGCUAGGAUCACCGACCGCAAAUUAUUCUCCACUAUCCGGUUUUGCUCACCGUCAUGAUGGGAACUUCAGAUAAGAGCUCAGGUUUGAAAACAGAGUGCCUCGGGCAGUGUGGUGUGUGGUGUGCAAUGAGCACAUUUCACACCCAUUCCAGCCUUUGGCCCGCAGCAGGCUGAAGUGCUGGUGACCAGUGAACACAGGACCCACCGUGGACAGAGUGGGCCCUGCGGGGCUUCUCCCAGCAGGCCUUGCUUUUCGGGAUCCUGACACCAGCUUUAUGCACAGCUCCUGGGUACCCAUUUUCUCCUGGCUGAGGUAUAGAGUACGUUUCCCUUUUUCUUAGGUCUACAUUGGAACCCCAGAAGGAACUCAGCUGAGGAAAGUCAGGGAAACAACCCACAGAAAUGAAUGAAUGAUGGUUUUGAAGGGUGCUUGGUUCCUGGAAUUCAGGGGGCUGUUCUUGCCUCAUGGCUCAGGCUACCAUCCCUGUUGCACCUGUCCCUACUGACAGUUUCCAGGGACACAGGACAAAACCCAACACUGGCCUUUGUCUUUGGUGCCGGUCACAUUUUGUCCUUACCUGGCUAGCCCUACAGUUCCUAUCUCUCCUAAGUUGUGGAUUUGAUCCAGGAUGCCCUUGGCAGUGGUCUUAAAUGGGCUUCGCCUUAACUGCCAGAGGCAAAAUCCCAUGGGUGGUACCUCCAGCCUCUUCCUAGUGGUGCGACUCCAUGCUUGGAACCUGAGAAUCUUGGAACACGGAAGGAUUGUGAGGCUGCAUUCUGUCCCCUGCCUGGUUCCUCCUGGGCCCUCCAGCCCCGCGAUGGCUCCUCCCCGGGGGCCUUCUCCUCCAUCACUCCUUCAUGUCAGCCACUGCCUGUCUUCUGCGGGAGCAUAAGGGGGCAGUUCCCAGCCCCGUCCUCAGGCUCCGUCCCCGCGCCCAGGAGCAGCCCCCUGAAGCUAGCCAUGACAACGGUGCAAGCAGCAGGUAGGGGCCACGGGGCAGGGUGGAGCGGGCUGGCCCGAAGGAGAGGGGCUGAGGAUGGGGAGGGGCCUUCAGCAGAGGUGGCCUCUCUUCCUGGGGACCUCAGCCCGCUCAGUCCUCCAAGCUGGCUGGUUUCACAAAGCUCCUUCACGAAACCACGUCAAAGCCUCAGCCUCUUCUGCUUCACUCUGCAGCUUGCAGAAGAACCAAGUUCUGGGUGUCACUGGCCAAACAGAAUAAGGGCUGAGAGAAGGAGGCCUUGGAGGCCAUGCCAGGGGCUGUAAAAAUCAUCUGGGGCAGCUCACAGAGGUCCCUCGUGGCCCCAAGGAGGUGACCUCUCAUCUCAGCUUGGGAGUGGUCAUUUGCUUUCCCCCAACCACAGAAGAGUCCCAGUUGUCACCGAAUUCAGUGCUCUGGUAAAUGGUAACAAGCUCACCUUGGUUUCUCUUUACUGUCAUGAAUUAAACAAUGGUGACAGAUUUCAAAAGGAAAUACCUUUUGCAAAUCUGAGUAACUUUCAGUGACCUCUGGGAGAGGGUAGAAAAGGUACUUUUUUUCCCCCCCUGAAUGAUACUCUGUAAUCACGAAAACCACUGAGAUCCCAAAGGGCAUCAAUCAUCUUCAUGGGCAUCUUCCCUAUACUCUAGGCACUCUUGGCUUUUUAAAACCAGGAAUGGCUUUCUGGAAUGAUCCAGACCUACUUCUAGCCUGAAGGGGGAUGCACUUCAUGGUCUAUGGGCCAGAGCUCAAUUCUGGAGGCCGGAGGAUCUAAGUUUGAAUCCUUACCAGCCACAUGACUUGGGCAAGGUCAGCGGUUUUGAGCACCUACCGUCCCAGGCACUGGGGAGACAGGGAGAAGGCACCAUCCCGGCCCACAGUGGGCCUCACUUAGUGGAGAGAGAGGUGCUUUCCUUAUAUGUCAACUGGGGGAAAUAAAAUCUGCAUGUCCUGGCCCUGAUCUGAAUCCCCACACACAACAGCAUGACAAAGGUUGGGUUUCUCCCUGUCAGUUCCAUCCAGGAAUGGUGAUGCUGUCGUUGUGGGAGAUGAGAAGGUAGACAUGCCCCCACGGAGGAGACAUUGUUAGAGUUUCGAGAGGCUGCUUGAAGCCUUAGUAUAAGAGAGCCUGGCUUACAAAGGUUAAGUGACGAGCUCAGACAAGAGCUGUUCUCAGUUUGUAGAAAUCUGGACGGCAACCAGCUGUUGUUCCAACCUCAGCCCACUUCCUCUGGGCGCUGCCCUCAACAUCCAUGAGAGAGAGAGAGAAUUUGGCUACAGUUUUUUUGGACGCCCCCCUGGCCCCAAUCAAGAAGUCUUGGAAAAGCACCCUGUUCGGUGACUCUGCAUACGGCAGAGAUAAAGGCGUUAAGUUAAUUUUGCAUGUGGUUGCCACAGACGUGUUUGACUGCCAUGUUUUUGCCCAUUAUUAGUCCAGAUACAUUGGUUAUCAUCCAUUAAUACUGAGCUGCUUUUCAGGGGUUUUGGGUACAGCUACUUGGAAACUUAUUUAGCUAGAAACUUGCUAUCCAGAAUUUGCUCUUUGUUCGUGUGAGAAUUGCUGGAAGAUGUUGACUUAGACAUUUUUUAUGUGUCAUUGCAUGAGUGUGUUCUACCGGGUAGACCUACGCAGCAAGGACCACCUCUUAGAGAAUGAAGGGCGUAGUAUGGAAUUAAAUAUGGUAAUAUAUAUAUAUAGAUAGAUGAGAAUUACCCUGUGACCCAGCGUGAAAUUGUCACCUGUAUUGCAUAGAAACAUAUGUACUUAAUUUAUAAAAUAUUUAGAAAUAUUUGCCUAGUAGAAUUAUAAGGCUUACCACCAGCUUACCAUAAAACUUAAAACUUAGUGCUCAUCUAAGAUAAACAUUUAGCAAAUAUUUGGUGAGCGCCUUCUCUGAGCCAGGCGCUUGUAAUUGGUUACAGCCUUGGAUUUUGAAAUAUUUACUGCUGCUUGCCUUUUUUUUUUUUUUUUUUUUUUUUUUGCCACAAUCCCAACCAUGUGAGAUGCUAGUUUCCUGAAUGUGCAAGACACUCACAUGAUGGGUAAUCAGCAGUCUGCAAAAAAGGACAUGGAUCCUUGUUUAGUUUCCUCUGGCUACAUCUGAGGAGAGUCCUUGGUGACUGUCAAGGUCUGGAGGACAGUGGCACCUCCCAGGCAGGGGCCAGCACGUGGACGGCCUGACCAGGUCCCCUGCAGAGCGCUCCCAGCAAGGACCUGUACACAUAGCAAUUAAAGUCAUAUUUCCUCACUUUUAUGGACGUGGCAAUACUAAAAAAAAAAAAAAAAAUCAAUGUCUGCGUGAUAUGAACAUGCAGAAUUUCAGCUAUCUGAAAAAUGUGCACAGAGGAAGGUAUGUUCCAACUCUUCAAUCGGAGUGUAUUUCUGGUAAAAUCGGCAGUGGCUGGCUUUUCCCGUGCACUUUGCGUGGAGGCAGGGUACCGGGAUGACUAGUACCGGGAUGACAGGAAUGCUGAUGUGGGAUCUGAAGAUCCACCUUUCCUGGCUGGGAGACCUUGGAAAAGUUACAGGACCUGAGUCAAGCAGUUCAGGGCCAUCCAAGCCUACUUCAUGGGUUGGCCCCGAGGAAGAACUGAGGUGUUUAUAACAUCGACUGAGUAAAUUUAAAGAUCAAAUUGACUGUAUUCAGUGACUCGUGAAGGGGGCAGCAUCCCAUCGUGCAGAUAGAAAGGAGCUCCAGAGAGCUGCACAAAAUGGGAGACUUGUAGGCAGAAGGGGGCAGGGCAAGGAGAGAGCAGAUCGCUUUCUCUAAGGGGUUAGAAGGGUUCUGUCAUGUGGGUCACCUCACUACCGCUGGCCAGGGAAUUCCAGAUGGACUGGUUUAAAACUGCACUCCUGGGAAGGGCUGAAGCUGCAGUUUGGCUGGGUAUUAAGUCUUGGUUUGCUGACAUGGGGCUGAGCACAAGUGACUCCAUUCGGGGCUCAUCUCUUUUUUGUAACAUAGGUGAGAUUAUUCCUGGUCCCGCUCUGAAGUAGCAUCACUGGUCUCGGUCAGCGCUUACACUGCCAUGUGGUCAAAUCCUGACUCUCUAGCCUCGCCAAGUGCCCAUUCUCCUCGGUAACUUCCCUACUUCCUCUUCUUUCCUGGAACCCCAGCACCCCUCCCCUAUCCUCAGUCUCACUGCUGACCUUGCUUCCUGUGUCAUACAGAAAACAGAAGCAUUCAGAAGAAUGCUCCCACAUGCUCCACCUUCUCCCAUUUCUGUGGGUGACGCUGGGAUCCCAGCACGGGGCCCCUUCUCCCCUCUUUCUCCCAUAUCCUCCCUCUUCCUAAGAGGAUUGUUCCCACCAGGAUAUACACGUGCUGUUACCGUCCUUCCCCUCAGAACACAAGUAAACAAACCGAAGCUGGUCCUUCUGGUCUCACGGCUGACUCUGACCUCCCUCCAGGCUCUGCUCACCUUCUCGAUGCGCCCACUCCAAACACCGAUGCAGGAUCCCACACCACUGCACCGCCUUGGUCACCUGACCCCCAUCCCUUGACCCUGCUCAUUUCUUCCCUAUAGCACUCACCACUUUCCAUGACUGCCUCCACCCCCAGUGGAGUGUAGCUCCACGAGGCAGGAUGUUGCCAGCUUUGUUGCAUCCUGGGCAGAGUAUGUGCUCCAUAAAUACUUGUUGAGUGGGUGAUCGGCUGUCAGCCACUCAGACUGUCUCAUCUUUAUCAUAAGGCUAAUGCUUCGUAGUUUUCUUCCUGCACAGCCUUCCUUUGGUUAGGUGUUUCUUCGGGAUAUGCAUGCACAGAGUCAGCCUGUCUGGGCCUGGCCUCCCCACAUGUCCCCUCCAGACAGCUUCUUCUGGUUCAUGUCCAUGUUCUGGCAACAUGGUCACCUGGGCCAGAAACCCGAGCAUCAUGCCUAUUCCACAUCCGUCCAGGAGGUGACCAAGUCUCAAUGGGCUCUUGACCUCUCUUUCCCCUUUCCUCUCCAUCUCCACAGCUGUCCCUCCCUCCUUGAUUCCCUGCCUCUGAACUACCCUCUUCACUGCUGCCAAAGCCAUUUUUUUCUAAUGUGCAAAUCUGAUGCUGCUCCUCCCCUGUUUAAACUCUGGCCGUUCUGCUGUAAGCUCUAACGGGAUGCUAUCUCACCUCCAGCAUCUGGGCCCCACCUCUUCUGGCCAGCCCCACCCUUGCUUACUGGAGACCCUCUCAGGGUUCGGAUCACACCAAGUGACUCAGCCUUGGCAGGCAGUGGGCUGCUCUUUGGGAUGGGAGUUCAUGCUACCUGGAAUGCUGGUCCCCUGGUCCCUUGGGCCAAGUCACCACUGGCAUUCUAGAUGGGACUUCUACCCUGGUCCUCUUAGGGCACCCAGGGUUCAUGGGCACCCCUAACCCUCUCACUGCACAUACCUCACUGCACUGCCAUUGUAGUUUACUGUCUGACUCCCUACCACACUGCUUCUUUUGUGUGUCCCUGGCCUGUCAUCUUUGUCCCCCUCCCCCCCCCCCCCAGGCCUUUCAAGGCAGAACCCAGGAUAACAGGUCACACUCAGCGUGCUCCUGAAUGAAGGGGCAGGACCUAUUUUGUGUCUGUGAGCGAUGUCCACCAAAGUGAUGUUGGGAAAUCCCAAGCCAUGCCCUCUCAUUCAUGAACAUGGAUUUCCAAGCUAGGGGACACCGCUGGGG
Molecule: long non-coding RNA, 17502 nt
Organism: Mirounga angustirostris (Northern elephant seal)
Lineage: Eukaryota; Metazoa; Chordata; Mammalia; Carnivora; Phocidae
Exons: 3
Source: RefSeq, a predicted model, not a curated record